Molecule: unclassified non-coding RNA, 302 nt
Filed under: uncultured fungus
Lineage: Eukaryota; Fungi
Description: sequence contains ITS1
Rfam family: 5.8S ribosomal RNA (bases 1-102)
Source: RNAcentral
GAAGUGCGAUAAGUGUCAUGACUUGCAGAUCCCCGAGAGCUGACAAAUUUCUGAAUGCAAAUGGCGGCCAACUUACCGUUGGUCAUGUAUUGCAGAGUGUAGUUGUUCAUACUCAUCAUCCUCCCUUCCAAGGGAGGGAUCUGCGCUUGUUCCCCAGCGAGCGUGAAACGUCAGAGUGGAUGCUUUCCUCUCCUCAACAGGGAGGAGGCUCCAACUUCGGAGUUUAACUACGUAGAAGUUCCCAUACUCUGUCUCUUUCUCCUUAUUCACCUCUGCAAUGCAGGAAAACCCGCUGAACUUAA